This 45-nucleotide non-coding RNA is filed under the name Schistosoma margrebowiei. Lineage: Eukaryota; Metazoa; Platyhelminthes; Trematoda; Strigeidida; Schistosomatidae. The record is from RNAcentral.
AUCUAGCUGAUGUGUCCCAAAUAGGAUGAAACACAUGUCUUGGUU